GACGAACGCUGGCGGCGUGCUUAACACAUGCAAGUCGAACGGAAAGGCCCUGCUUUUGUGGGGUGCUCGAGUGGCGAACGGGUGAGUAACACGUGAGUAACCUGCACUUGACUUUGGGAUAACUUCAGGAAACUGGGGCUAAUACCGGAUAGGAGCUCCUGCUGCAUGGUGGGGGUUGGAAAGUUUCGGCGGUUUGGGAUGGACUCGCGGCUUAUCAGCUUGUUGGUGGGGUAGUGGCUUACCAAGGCUUUGACGGGUAGCCGGCCUGAGAGGGUGACCGGGCUCAUUGGGACUGAGAUACGGACCAGACGGCUACGGGAGGCAGCAGGGGGGAAUAUGGCGCAGUGGGCGGAAGCCUGAUGCAGCGACGCCGCGAGCGUGAUAACGGCCUACUGGUUGUAAACCGCUUUCGCCUGUGACGAAGAGUGAGUGACGGUAACGGGUCAAGAAGCACCGGCUAACUACGUG
Molecule: ribosomal RNA, 468 nt
Filed under: uncultured bacterium
Lineage: Bacteria
Description: partial 16S ribosomal RNA
Rfam family: Bacterial small subunit ribosomal RNA
Source: RNAcentral